AGCUCCAAUAGCGUAUAUUAAAGUUGUUGCAGUUAAAAAGCUCGUAGUUGGAUUUCUGGCAGGAGCGACCGGUCCGCCGCAAGGUGUGCACUAGGUCGUCUCCAGUCAUCUUUGUGGGAACUGCUCUGGCAUUAGGUUGUCGGGGUUAGGGAACACAUCGUUUACUGUGAAAAAUUAGAGUGUUUAAAGCAGGCUUAUGCCGUUGAAUACAUUAGCAUGGAAUAAUAAGAUAGGACUUUGGUGGUCUAUUUUGUUGGUUUGCACACCAAGGUAAUGAUUAAUAGGGAUAGUUGGGGGUAUUCGUAUUUAAUUGUCAGAGGUGAAAUUCUUGGAUUUAUGAAAGACGAACUACUGCGAAAGCAUUUACCAAAGAUGUUUUCA
This 381-nucleotide ribosomal RNA is filed under the name uncultured eukaryote. RNAcentral describes it as "SSU rRNA". It matches the Rfam family "Eukaryotic small subunit ribosomal RNA", at positions 587 to 972 of the family's 1831-position model. The record is from RNAcentral.